Molecule: ribosomal RNA, 492 nt
Filed under: uncultured Sphingobacteriales bacterium
Lineage: Bacteria; Pseudomonadati; Bacteroidota; Sphingobacteriia; Sphingobacteriales
Description: bacterial SSU rRNA
Rfam family: Bacterial small subunit ribosomal RNA
Source: RNAcentral
UUGCCAGCCCGCUCAGAAACUCAAGGAAUUGACGGGCCGCACAAGCGUGGAGCAUGUGGUUAAUUCGAUGAUACGCGAGGAACCUUACCUGGGCUCAAAUGUAUGUUGACGUAUUCUGAAAGGGAUACUUCUUCGGACAAUAUACAAGGUGCUGCAUGGUUGUCGUCAGCUCGUGCCGUGAGGUGUCGGGUUAAGUCCCAUAACGAGCGCAACCCUAUCAUUAGUUGCCAUCAGGUCAAGCUGGGGACUCUAAUGAAACUGCCUACGCAAGUAGUGAGGAAGGUGGGGAUGACGUCAAAUCAGCACGGCCCUUACGUCCAGGGCUACACACGUGCUACAAUGGCCGGUACAAAGGGCAGCUACCUGGUGACAGGAUGCUAAUCUCAAAAGCCGGUCUCAGUUCGGAUCGGAGUCUGCAACCCGACUCCGUGAAGCUGGAAUCGCUAGUAAUCGUGGAUCAGCCAAGCCGCGGUGAAUACGUUCCCGGGCCUU